UCCUCGAGUGGCGAACGGGUGAGUAACACGUGGGUGAUCUGCCCUGCACUUCGGGAUAAGCUUGGGAAACUGGGUCUAAUACCGGAUAGGAACCAUCUUUAGUGUGGUGGUUGGAAAGUUUUUUCGGUGUAGGAUGAGCUCGCGGCCUAUCAGCUUGUUGGUGGGGUAAUGGCCUACCAAGGCGGCGACGGGUAGCCGGCCUGAGAGGGUGUACGGCCACAUUGGGACUGAGAUACGGCCCAG
Molecule: ribosomal RNA, 243 nt
Filed under: uncultured Actinomycetales bacterium
Lineage: Bacteria; Bacillati; Actinomycetota; Actinomycetes; Actinomycetales
Description: partial 16S ribosomal RNA
Rfam family: Bacterial small subunit ribosomal RNA
Source: RNAcentral